Astyanax mexicanus (Mexican tetra) is the source of this 462-nucleotide non-coding RNA. Lineage: Eukaryota; Metazoa; Chordata; Actinopteri; Characiformes; Acestrorhamphidae. The record is from the annotation of a RefSeq genome assembly.
AUGGGUAAUAUGACAGGUGUUCACUCUCAGGUUGUUCUCACACAGUCUGAACAGUCAGUAGCAGUGGCUCCAGGAGGAUCCCACAAACUCACCUGUAGAUGCAGUGGAUUCACUGUGAGGGACUAUGGCAUGCACUGGAUCAGACAGGCUCCUGGUGUUCACUGUAAUGAACUGACCCAACCUGGCUCCAUGAUGGUGCGUCCAGGUCAGAGUCUGACCAUCAACUGUAAAGUUUCAUAUUCAGUUACAAGCUGGAGCACAGGUUAUAUCAGACAACCUGCAGGAAAAUCUAUGGAGUGGAUUGGAACUAUCUAUAGUGGUGGUAGCACAGACUACAGUAAUAAACUAAAAAACAAGUUCAGCAUCUCCAGAGACACUGGAACUAACACAAUAACAUUACAAGGACAGAAUCUGCAGACUGAAGAUACAGCUGUGUAUUACUGCGCAAGAGACACACAGUGA